UACGAGAGGUCCAAACGUUAUUCGGAAUCACUGGGCUUACAGAGUUCGUAGGCGGUCCAGAAAGUGGGGUGUGAAAUCCCUCGGCUUAACCGGGGAACUGCGUCUGAUACUGGAUGGCUUGAGUUCGGGAGAGGGAUGCGGAAUUCCAGGUGUAGCGGUGAAAUGCGUAGAUAUCUGGAGGAACACCGGUGGCGAAGGCGGCAUCCUGGACCGACACUGACACUGAGGAGCGAAAGCCAGGGGAGCAAACGGG
RNAcentral lists this ribosomal RNA (253 nucleotides) under uncultured bacterium. RNAcentral's name for it is "partial 16S ribosomal RNA". It matches the Rfam family "Bacterial small subunit ribosomal RNA", at positions 524 to 776 of the family's 1533-position model. The record is from RNAcentral.